UGAGCACAGAGAUACGUAAUCAACCAGGCAGCAGUCGUCACCCACAUGGGGUCACACAGUGCUCUCUGGCACCAAUUCCCACCUCACAGAACCUGGCUGCUUAGAGGGCUGAGUCCCGAUCAGAGCAGGAAGUUCUCAGAAUCGGCACAAGUCUAAGCUCAUAUCAUCCAGAAAGCAGGGCAACUUCCAAAGCCUCCAGGGGACAUAAUCACAGGAAAAAACUAGUAACUGCAGGGUCACCGAAGGAUCGAGUGGAGAAACUGACGGCAAUUAAUAAGCAAUGAAGAAUGACCUGGUGUGACACUUUGAAGCUCCUGAUGGAUCAAGCCCAGAUGAUCACAAGAAAACACUAUUCCUGUGGAGGCACCACCAAGGACAUUGUCUUGAUGUCCCCUAACAUUUGAACGUGGAUCUGCCCAAACCUCUAGCUCCAAAUGUGUUACAAGAAUACAGAAAAACCAAAUGACAUGCUAGAGACAUUCUUAGAGACGCCAGCAACAAUACCACAUCUACUCCCAUGUACAAAACCACAGAGCCAAUGCAUUGGCUCCCUCCAAAGAACGAGCCAGAUUUGUUUGGUUCCCAACAUAAACAAACUGUUGAAAAAUAAAAUUAAUGUGAUACCCUGAGAAAUACAAAUGCUGGCAAAAUACUCCAUGGUAUUCGAAGUGUUCUUUUUAUAC
RNAcentral lists this long non-coding RNA (683 nucleotides) under Mus pahari (shrew mouse). RNAcentral describes it as "lncRNA (MGP_PahariEiJ_G0004429.1)". Lineage: Eukaryota; Metazoa; Chordata; Mammalia; Rodentia; Muridae. The record is from RNAcentral.